UACAGAGGGUGCAAGCGUUGUUCGGAAUUAUUGGGCGUAAAGCGCGUGUAGGCGGCUUUGCAAGUCGGGUGUGAAAGCCCUCAGCUCAACUGAGGAAGUGCGCCCGAAACUGCAGAGCUUGAGUGCCGGAGAGGGUGGCGGAAUUCCCCAAGUAGAGGUGAAAUACGUAGAUAUCUGGAGGAACACCGGUGGCGAAGGCGGCUACCUGGCCCAACAUUGACACUGAGACCCGAAAGCGUGGGGAUCAAACAGG
RNAcentral lists this ribosomal RNA (253 nucleotides) under uncultured bacterium. RNAcentral describes it as "partial 16S ribosomal RNA". It matches the Rfam family "Bacterial small subunit ribosomal RNA", at positions 524 to 776 of the family's 1533-position model. The record is from RNAcentral.